GGAGUCGGCCAGGCAGCCGCCGUGAACCGUUCGGGUCACGGAGGAAAGUCCGGGCUCCGGAGGGCAGGGUGCCAGGUAACGCCUGGGGGGCAUGAGCCCACGGAAAGUGCCACAGAAAACAUACCGCCAAAGCGCCGCAGGCGCCGGCAAGGGUGAAAAGGUGCGGUAAGAGCGCACCGCGCGAGUGGUAACACGUCGCGGCACGGUAAACCCCACCCGGAGCAAGACCAAAUAGGGGGGCAGUCCCCGGGUAGGUCGCUAGAGGUGCGCGGCGACGCGCAUCCCAGAUGAAUGGCUGUCCACGACAGAACCCGGCUUAUCGGCCGACUCCUUUU
Molecule: RNase P RNA, 335 nt
Filed under: Gammaproteobacteria bacterium SG8_31
Lineage: Bacteria; Pseudomonadati; Pseudomonadota; Gammaproteobacteria
Description: bacterial RNase P
Rfam family: Bacterial RNase P class A
About the family: Ribonuclease P (RNase P) is a ubiquitous endoribonuclease, found in archaea, bacteria and eukarya as well as chloroplasts and mitochondria. Its best characterised activity is the generation of mature 5'-ends of tRNAs by cleaving the 5'-leader elements of precursor-tRNAs.
Source: RNAcentral